Molecule: non-coding RNA, 83 nt
Filed under: Leifsonia sp. Root227
Lineage: Bacteria; Bacillati; Actinomycetota; Actinomycetes; Micrococcales; Microbacteriaceae
Also listed under: 1 other name
Description: Fluoride riboswitch aptamer (crcB RNA motif)
Rfam family: Fluoride riboswitch aptamer (crcB RNA motif)
Source: Rfam by way of RNAcentral
UGGGCGGACGGCGAUGGAUCUCGCCUGGGCAGCACCCGUGCCGUGCCCGAACCGCGUCGUCCGCUGAUAGUUCCUACGCUUCC